This 975-nucleotide ribosomal RNA is filed under the name Triticum aestivum (bread wheat). RNAcentral's name for it is "partial small subunit ribosomal RNA". The record is from RNAcentral. Lineage: Eukaryota; Viridiplantae; Streptophyta; Magnoliopsida; Poales; Poaceae.
AUGCGGGAGGCGCCGUGCCUUGUCCUGCCCGGCGACACCCCGGAGACGGCCACACUCUUCUCGCUGGCGCACCACCGCUCCGCCCUCGUGCGCGCCCGAGGGCCCGGACACCUCGUCUUAGGAUCCUCAUUCUCCCGCAGGUGGCUCGUCACCGCUGAUGCCUUCGCCCGGCUGCACCUCGUCAACCCGGUCACCGACGAGCAGCGCGCACUCCCGGCCAUCGAGACCAUCCCCUGUGUCGACGCCCAACGUGGGGGCUCCGUCUUCUCGUUCGAGGAGAAGCCGUUCAUCAGGGGGGCCCCGCCGCACCCCCACGGACUCGCAGUGAUGAACCCCGGCUCGAUGCGCCGCUACUUCUACCGCAAGGUCGUCCUCUCCGACUGCGCCGCCAUUGCCAUGCUCAUCACCGAUCUACGGUAUGGCGCCGUGGCCUUUGCCACGGCGGAGGGCCGUGUGUGGAAGCUAGUGCCCUCGCACCAUGGCAUCACCAAGGCGGGGAGCAAGUGUGCCAGGUGGCCGAGGCCGCCCUCGCGCGACAGCAUUGAGGACGCCGUCCACCAUGAGGGCAGGUUCUACUCCAUCACUUACUCCGGCGAGUUAGAGGCGUGGGAGCAGGAUGCCGAUGGUACCGGCAUGUUCACCAGUGUGGUGGUAGCGCCAGGGCAGCCCUGGUGCAACCACAGCAAGUACCUGGUGGCGGCACCAGGCGGUCGGCUGAUGGUCGUGCUCAAGAGGUCUGAUAAGAUCACACAUCGGUUGACAUUCAAGGUGCUGGUCCUUGACGCGGGUGCCAAGCAAUGGAAGGAGGUGGACAGCAUCGACGACGCUGCGCUGUUCGUUGGGGUGAACGGUUCGCUGUGGGUGUCGACGAGGGAGCACCCUGAGCUUAAGGCCGGCUGCGUCUACUACACCGCUGACGAUCUGUCACCCCAACAACCAGCGUGGCGCCGGGGUGUUCAGCCUCAAGGACGGUAG